RNAcentral lists this ribosomal RNA (497 nucleotides) under uncultured bacterium. RNAcentral's name for it is "partial 16S ribosomal RNA". It matches the Rfam family "Bacterial small subunit ribosomal RNA", at positions 28 to 507 of the family's 1533-position model. The record is from RNAcentral.
GACGAACGCUGGCGGCGUGCCUAAUACAUGCAAGUUGAGCGAUGAAGCUUGGUGCUUGCACCAAUUUGAAGAGCAGCGAACGGGUGAGUAACGCGUGGGGAAUCUGCCUUUGAGCGGGGGACAACAUUUGGAAACGAAUGCUAAUACCGCAUAACAACUUUAAACAUAAGUUUUAAGUUUGAAAGAUGCAAUUGCAUCACUCAAAGAUGAUCCCGCGUUGUAUUAGCUAGUUGGUGAGGUAAAGGCUCACCAAGGCGAUGAUACAUAGCCGACCUGAGAGGGUGAUCGGCCACAUUGGGACUGAGACACGGCCCAAACUCCUACGGGAGGCAGCAGUAGGGAAUCUUCGGCAAUGGACGAAAGUCUGACCGAGCAACGCCGCGUGAGUGAAGAAGGGUUUCGGAUCGUAAAACUCUGUUGGUAGGGAAGAACGUUGGUGAGAGUGGAAAGCUCAUCAAGUGACGGUAACUACCCAGAAAGGGACGGCUAACUACGUG